GGAGCUCUAGGCUUUUCCCGCAACUGUUCCAAUGGGGAACUCCCAUUUUCAGCCAUUUUUCUUCUUUCUUUUCUCCUCUCUUCCAUGGCUAGAUCUGAUGGGGGGAAAGAAGUAGGUAUGUACACUGGUUCGAAAGGUACCUCCCCUCCUAGUGAUCUGCGCACCAAUACCCCCUAGUUCUUUGAAUGCUUUUGCUUGAAAUUC
RNAcentral lists this long non-coding RNA (204 nucleotides) under Prunus persica (peach). RNAcentral describes it as "long non-coding RNA (PPER_LNC005125)". Lineage: Eukaryota; Viridiplantae; Streptophyta; Magnoliopsida; Rosales; Rosaceae. The record is from RNAcentral.